This 151-nucleotide non-coding RNA is filed under the name Homo sapiens (human). The record is from Rfam by way of RNAcentral. Lineage: Eukaryota; Metazoa; Chordata; Mammalia; Primates; Hominidae.
GCCAGGCGUGGUGGCGCACGCCUGUAAUCCCAGCUACUCAGGAGGCUGAGGCAGGAGAAUGGCUUGAACCCGGGAGGCAGAGGUUGCAGUGAGCCAAGAUUGCGCACUGCACCACUCCAGCCUGGGUGACAAGAGCAAGACUCUGUCUCAA